CUCGGAGUUUGAUCCUGGCUCAGAUUGAACGCUGGCGGAAUGCUUUACACAUGCAAGUCGAACGGUAGAGGGGGCAACCCCUUGAGAGUGGCGAACGGGUGAGUAAUAUAUCGGAACGUGCCCAGUCGUGGGGGAUAACGUAGCGAAAGUUACGCUAAUACCGCAUACGAUCUAUGGAUGAAAGCGGGGGACCGUAAGGCCUCGCGCGAUUGGAGUGGCCGAUGGCAGAUUAGGUAGUUGGUGGGGUAAAGGCCUACCAAGCCUGCGAUCUGUAGCUGGUCUGAGAGGACGACCAGCCACAC
RNAcentral lists this ribosomal RNA (302 nucleotides) under uncultured beta proteobacterium. Its description in RNAcentral is "partial 16S ribosomal RNA". It matches the Rfam family "Bacterial small subunit ribosomal RNA", at positions 1 to 313 of the family's 1533-position model. The record is from RNAcentral. Lineage: Bacteria; Pseudomonadati; Pseudomonadota; Betaproteobacteria.